UGCAGCACGCAAAGCGCUAAAAGAUACAAGGCAAAACACGCACGCGGCAGGAAAAGCGGAAAACAACAAUCGGAUGCCGCCUGGGAAAGUAAAAAAGGUGCAAAUCGGUUAGCAAUGGGUCACGAUCCGUCAGGAUCAGUUGGGACCCCUACAGAAAAUUGUAUCUUUGAAACACAAAAUUGGUAUCCUUCAAAGCAACCGCAAUCAAUCAUGUGACAAGCGAGGAAAGCAAAAGUCCCUCCUGACCACUCCGGAGAACAGGAUUAUGGGCGAGUGGGAAGUGCCAAGAAAGGCUGGAGCCAAGAGAAGCCGCAGAUGGCGACAGGUGGGUGGACAGCGGGUGGCCGUUUCCCGAAGGUGGGCCCAAAGCCGAUCAGAAAUCAAGAGCCCAACCAGCAGGUGCGACUGAAAGUGGCUUGCACUGGGGAUGUUCCGCCGCCAGCGGAUGAGCCAGCGAACUACACUGGCCCAACAGAACUUGGAUCGCCGAACUCAGGUUGCAGAUUGUUUACUGGUGAAGAAGCUGUCAUAACAAAAAAUAAAACCCUGGAAGUCUCGAAGUGUACUUAGCCAAUUCAGAAGACUGAUAACAAGUUCCAUUCAACAUUUUUAGAUUAUAUAUGCACGUUUACCCUUCAAAGCACUGACUUGCUCAAUAUAUUUUUAGUUAAUGACUAAAUCAAAUAAUCGCUUAGAUCGACAAAACGCUUUUAUCUAUUAAAAUUUUAAACCAAAAAAAAGUAUUGAAACACUAUAAAUAAAAUAACAAAAAAAACUUGGUUCAUCACAAAAACACACAUGAUUUUACUUCCAAAAGAGAUUAGAACUGAUAUGCCUAUCUUUCGAUUUCAUCACGAAACACCAAUCGAGAGCGGUUAAUUAUUAAACUACAUAGGCGAGCUGCAAACUAAGUUCGAGCACAUGAUUUGGAUUCUGUAAGUGCCCGCCGGGCCCUGUAAGAGCACCUACUGCGAUUAGUUAAACACACAUAGCCGCGCACAUGAUUUCACUCGGACCGAGAUUAAGGCCGACCGACUAAUUUGACGACGAGUGUAAAUGCGCUUGGCCAGCAAAGUGCAAAAAGUCGCAUGAAAAACACUGGUGUAUGCCCACCUCGUACUCUGGCUGGUCGCUGGCUGUGACUGUAUACUGGAGACUGUGCUGGGACACUGGAUACUGGCGCUGGAUACUCUGGUGGUACUACUGCCUGUGAAAAUCGCCUCGAACGAACUGAGGCGGCGACUCGCACUGGUACUGGCUGCUACUACGGCGGCUAUAGGCGGGCGAACU
Drosophila biarmipes is the source of this 1290-nucleotide long non-coding RNA. RefSeq lists it as uncharacterized. The transcript has 2 exons. The record is from RefSeq and is a predicted model, not a curated record. Lineage: Eukaryota; Metazoa; Arthropoda; Insecta; Diptera; Drosophilidae.